This 433-nucleotide unclassified non-coding RNA is filed under the name soil metagenome. RNAcentral describes it as "partial contains 5.8S ribosomal RNA, internal transcribed spacer 2, and large subunit ribosomal RNA". The stretch from base 1 to 120 matches the Rfam family "5.8S ribosomal RNA", at positions 35 to 154 of the family's 154-position model. The record is from RNAcentral.
GAUGAAGAACGUAGCGAAAUGCGAUACGUAAUGUGAAUUGCAGAAUUCAGUGAAUCAUCGAAUCUUUGAACGCAUAUUGCGCUCUCUGGUAUUCCGCAGAGCAUGCUUGUUUGAGUAUCAGUAAACACCUCAACUUCCAUAUCUUUUUUGAAAUGGGAGUUGGACUUGAGUGAUCCCAACGCUUUUCCUCACCGAAAAGUGGCGGGUUACUUGAAAUGCAGGUGCAGCUGGACUUUUCUCUGAGCUAUAAGCAUAUCUAUUUAGUCUGCCUAAAAAACAGAUUAUUACCUUUGCUGCAGCUAACAUAAAGGAGAUUAGUUCUUGUGCUGACUGAUGCAGGAUUCACAAAGACAGGCUUCGGCCGACUUUGUAAACUCGAUCUCAAAUCAAGUAAGACUACCCGCUGAACUUAAGCAUAUCAAUAAGCGGAGGA